GACGAACGCUGGCGGCGUGCUUAACACAUGCAAGUCGAACGAUGACGACCGAGCUUGCUCGGUCUGAUUAGUGGCGAACGGGUGAGUAACACGUGAGCAACCUGCCCUUCACUCUGGGAUAACCUCGGGAAAUCGGGGCUAAUACCGGAUAUGAGCUCCUGUCGCAUGGCGGGUGUUGGAAAGUUUUUCGGUGAAGGAUGGGCGUGCGGCCUAUCAGUUUGUUGGUGAGGGAGUGGCUCACCAAGGCGAUGAAGGGUAGCCGGCCUGAGAGGGCGACCGGCCACACUGGGACUGAGACACGGACCAGACUCCAACGGGAGGCAGCAGUGGGGAAUAUUGCACAAUGGGCGAAAGCCUGAGGCGGCGACGCCGCGUGAGGGAUGACGGCCUUCGGGUUGUAAACCUCUUUCAGCAGGGAAGAAGCGAAAGUGACGGUACCUGCAGAAGAAGCGCCGGCUAACUACGUG
RNAcentral lists this ribosomal RNA (467 nucleotides) under uncultured bacterium. RNAcentral's name for it is "partial 16S ribosomal RNA". It matches the Rfam family "Bacterial small subunit ribosomal RNA", at positions 28 to 507 of the family's 1533-position model. The record is from RNAcentral.